Molecule: signal recognition particle RNA, 99 nt
Filed under: Desulfomonilia bacterium
Lineage: Bacteria; Pseudomonadati; Thermodesulfobacteriota; Desulfomonilia
Description: signal recognition particle sRNA small type
Rfam family: Bacterial small signal recognition particle RNA
About the family: The signal recognition particle (SRP) is a universally conserved ribonucleoprotein involved in the co-translational targeting of proteins to membranes.
Source: RNAcentral
GGCCGGGUCUCAUGCUAUGCAGCGCUGCCAACCCCGUCAGGCCCGGGAGGGAGCAGCGGUGCGCAGUACGCUGCAUGUGUAUGAACAGGCCCGGCCCAC